This 460-nucleotide unclassified non-coding RNA is filed under the name Hevea brasiliensis (rubber tree). Lineage: Eukaryota; Viridiplantae; Streptophyta; Magnoliopsida; Malpighiales; Euphorbiaceae. The record is from RNAcentral.
AAUAUUAGCUCCUCCAUCCGUCAGGUAAAUUAAAGCUAUCGAGGACAUUAAAACUGCUGUUUCUGUAAUCAAAAAGAGAAAUUAUACUGAACUCUCAAACACUUUUAACGUUUCGUACCUGCCAAAUGUUAUUGUUCCUUGUAUAAGUGCUAAUAUUUUUAUUUGAAGCUUGUAAUUUAUAUCCCAACGAUUCCAUUGAUGGAAUUCUAUGAACUGUUUGUUGCCGAGGAAGUGUUUAAAGGAAUCUAUAUUGCGAUUUGGACACUUACUUGGGGUAAAGAAAGUUACAUGUUUGAGACGAAAUUUCCUCGUUUGUAUAAAUUUCAUUAUCACCCUUAAGAAAUUGAAAGCCUAAAUUAAAAUUUUCGUUACUUUAUAUAUGUGUGGAUUUAAAGAAAGUAGAACUUAAGUUAUUGCCGCAUACUAUGAAUUUUAAUAGAUUUUCUAGAAGAUUUCCGGA